GACGAACCGAGCGAACGUUGUUCGGAAUUACUGGGCGUAAAGCGCGCGUAGGCGGCUUUGUAAGUUAGAGGUGAAAGCCCGGGGCUCAACCCCGGAAUUGCCUUUAAGACUGCAUCGCUUGAAUCCGGGAGAGGUGAGUGGAAUUCCGAGUGUAGAGGUGAAAUUCGUAGAUAUUGGGAAGAACACCGGUGGCGAAGGCGGCUCACUGGCUCAUUACUGACGCUCAGGCGCGACAGCGUGGGGAUCAAACAGG
This 253-nucleotide ribosomal RNA is filed under the name uncultured bacterium. RNAcentral's name for it is "partial 16S ribosomal RNA". It matches the Rfam family "Bacterial small subunit ribosomal RNA", at positions 524 to 776 of the family's 1533-position model. The record is from RNAcentral.